Non-coding RNA from Microcebus murinus (gray mouse lemur), 737 nucleotides. The record is from RefSeq and is a predicted model, not a curated record. NCBI's taxonomy places the organism in Eukaryota, Metazoa, Chordata, Mammalia, Primates, Cheirogaleidae.
CCGCUCCGGUCCCCGCCGUCCCGCUCCGGUGCAGACCCACGUGCGCGGCUGCGCGCGCCCCUCUGACUCCUGGUUGUUCACCCUCUCCCUGUCCCUGCAAGCGCAGCGCGGAGGCAGGCCUGCCCCUACUCAGCUCAGGGCACCGGGCUCGCCCUGGGGAAAGCGAGGCCUGUAACGUCCGGACAUAUGAAGUCCCUUUAAGAGAAGCCAGUGUCACAACUAUGAAAGAGAAGAGUCCUCUUGUGUUCCUGAAAACAUGUGAUAUUCCUUGGAAUACAGUAGCCAAGCUGAACCCAGAGCCUGCACAAUCCAUGCAUACUCCAACUGUGAGAAGUUGAUGGAAGCUGUCUGGGUUGUUCCGGGCAGCUGAGGUUGCAGAAGUGUCCAGAGCCUUACAUGAAUACAAGUAUAAACUUAGCUUCAUAAUACAAACAUUGUGAAGCUGAUAGUUCCAGGAGCUCUUCCUCAGAACUAGCAUCAAAUAUAAAACUUUGGUCUUCCUAGUGUCUUCUGUGGGUUAACAACUUGGCUUCCAGGCUUUUGAAUUUUGGAGACCUAACUUUGGCAGAAUCCAUUUUGCACUUUCUACUGCUCUUCAAUCUCUCUUCACUCAUCCUCCUAUAAUAUGUCUCCCAUUUGGCAGGAGAAAAUUUUGGUCAUAAGAUAAAGAAGGAAAAUGUCCCUCACGACCAAGUGGGCUUCAUCCCAGAGAUGCAGGGAUGGUUCUACAUACAGAA